This is a long non-coding RNA of Vombatus ursinus (common wombat), 927 nucleotides long. RefSeq lists it as uncharacterized. The transcript has 4 exons. NCBI's taxonomy places the organism in Eukaryota, Metazoa, Chordata, Mammalia, Diprotodontia, Vombatidae. The record is from RefSeq and is a predicted model, not a curated record.
UGGGGCAGCCCAACCUUUAGAAACGUGUUAGGAUUGCGCUGCAGUCGCUUCUCCCUCGCAGCUUUAGGAAAACCAGGCGAAGGGCAAGUAGAUUCACACAGAUCAUGUCUUUACAUUUGGAUGUGUACCCUAAAUUUUUAUCAGGACAGUUGAUGACCCCAGAUGGGACCUGAGUGAGGGCCUCCAACCCUGCAACUUUCUCUCAGAAGAACUUUUAGAGGACUGUCCCGGAAACUGGACUCCCCUUUAGGCCUCAAGCUUAUUUUCUCUGAGCAAAGGUAUAAGUGCCUGAUACGUCUUCUCGUAAGGCCACUAGUCCAUCAUUCAAAGGAAAUGCCAUGUAUUCCUGCAGUCUGAGGACUGUGGGUGUCUGUCUCUGGGAAAGUCAAAAGAACAACCUUGAGAAGGUAAAGGCAACGACUUGGACUCUUGCCCCAGAUGGGAAUGAGGGGGUCUUAUGACCCUGGAGUCAUAAGAUAUUCUACCUGGUCAAAAGUCAAGAGUUGUUUAACACUGGACUUUCCAAAGAAUGUUGAUUAACUCUGUUGUCAUGAGUCUUGGAAAUCUCCUCUUAUAAAUCAGGUUAAAUGUAAGUCCAUCUGUACCUUUACCAACUGUAUCAAAGACUGCUCUGUCUGCUGUAAUGCAUCCCUGGCCAUUGAGGGGCUCAGGAUAUCAAGUUAUUGGCAACUACUAGCCUUGCUAAAUAAAUUGAUGAUGCUUGAAGACUUUGUGCCUCAGUUUCUCUUCAUUACAGAUUUUUAUCAGGACAGACCUGUGCUUUUGAAAGAUUAGUUUGACAGCCAAAUGGAGGAUGGACUGAAGUAAGAAGAGACUUUUGGCAGGGACACCAACCAGCAGGCUAUUGCAAACAGGCCAGGCAGGAAGUAAUGAAGAGGACUUUCCCCAAGGUGGUUGCCAAAGAGA